Non-coding RNA from Phrynosoma platyrhinos (Desert horned lizard), 72 nucleotides. NCBI's taxonomy places the organism in Eukaryota, Metazoa, Chordata, Lepidosauria, Squamata, Phrynosomatidae. The record is from the annotation of a GenBank genome assembly.
GCCAAUGUGGCAUAGUGGUUUCAGUGUUAGACUAUGACUCUGGAGACCAGGGUUUAAUUCCCAACUCAGCCA